CCCGGAGGAAGAGGAGACAAGAACGCUGAUACUGUACCACUCUGAUACCCCAGCCUGACGACUGUGCUGUGUAGAUAUCAGGAGCUGAGGAGUGUCCCAAGUCCUGCUUGUGAUAGAGAUCUGGUGCAGCAGUCACCAUGACCUCCCCCGUGUCUCUGUGUGUGCUGGCCAUUGCGCUGAUGAUGAUGAUGGGUGAACAGUCUGCUGCACAGUGGCAAGGAACACCAAUGCCAACUGCACCAGCAACUGAAGAGGCAUCAACUGACACACCCUUGGCGCCAACCCCAGCACCAGCCACCAAUCCACCAAAUACCCCACCCCCAGCCACCCAUGGACCACCAAAUACCCCACCACCGACCACAUACCCACCCAAUACCCCACCACCAGCCACGCAUCCGCCAAAUACCCCACCCCCAGUCACACAUGGACCACCAAAUACGCCACCACCAAAUACCCCACCCCCAGCCACACAUGGACCACCAAAUACCCCACCCCCAGCCACACAUGCACCACCGAAUACCCCACUACCAGCAACAUACCAACCAAAUACACCACCACCAAAUACCCCACUACCAGCAACAUACCAACCAAAUACACCACCACCUGCCACACAUGGACCACCAGCCACCCAUCCACCAAACACCCCACUAGGAAUACAAACAACAACCACCCCCACUACACCAGCUUUAUCCACUAUGACCCCACCAACAACUACAGAACCACCACCAACCACCACCACCACACAGCCAACAACAACACCAGGUGCGUACUGUACCUACAUU
Long non-coding RNA from Engraulis encrasicolus (European anchovy), 782 nucleotides. RefSeq lists it as uncharacterized. Lineage: Eukaryota; Metazoa; Chordata; Actinopteri; Clupeiformes; Engraulidae. The transcript has 4 exons. The record is from RefSeq and is a predicted model, not a curated record.